UACGGAGGGUGCAAGCGUUAUCCGGAUUCACUGGGUUUAAAGGGUGCGUAGGUGGGUUGGUAAGUCAGUGGUGAAAUCUCCGAGCUUAACUUGGAAACUGCCAUUGAUACUAUCAGUCUUGAAUAUUGUGGAGGUCAGCGGAAUAUGUCAUGUAGCGGUGAAAUGCUUAGAUAUGACAUAGAACACCAAUUGCGAAGGCAGCUGGCUACGCAUAUAUUGACACUGAUGCACGAAAGCGUGGGGAUCAAACAGG
Molecule: ribosomal RNA, 253 nt
Filed under: uncultured bacterium
Lineage: Bacteria
Description: partial 16S ribosomal RNA
Rfam family: Bacterial small subunit ribosomal RNA
Source: RNAcentral